CCUACGGGUGGCAGCAGUGAGGAAUAUUGGUCAAUGGACGAGAGUCUGAACCAGCCAAGUAGCGUGAAGGAUGACUGCCCUAUGGGUUGUAAACUUCUUUUAUAUGGGACUAAAAUGUUCCACGUGUGGGAUUUUGUAUGUACCAUAUGAAUAAGGAUCGGCUAACUCCGUGCCAGCAGCCGCGGUAAUACGGAGGAUGCGAGCGUUAUCCGGAUUUAUUGGGUUUAAAGGGAGCGUAGGUGGAUUGUUAAGUCAGUUGUGAAAGUUUGCGGCUCAACCGUAAAAUUGCAGUUGAAACUGGCAGUCUUGAGUACAGUAGAGGUGGGCGGAAUUCGUGGUGUAGCGGUGAAAUGCUUAGAUAUCACGAAGAACUCCGAUUGCGAAGGCAGUUCACUGGACUGCAACUGACACUGAGGCUCGAAAGUGUGGGUAUCAAACAGGAUUAGAUACCCCUGUAGUC
RNAcentral lists this ribosomal RNA (460 nucleotides) under uncultured bacterium. Its description in RNAcentral is "partial 16S ribosomal RNA". It matches the Rfam family "Bacterial small subunit ribosomal RNA", at positions 338 to 795 of the family's 1533-position model. The record is from RNAcentral.